This 82-nucleotide transfer RNA is filed under the name Euplotes vannus. Its description in RNAcentral is "transfer RNA-Ser (AGA)". It matches the Rfam family "tRNA". From Rfam's summary of the family: Transfer RNA (tRNA) molecules are approximately 80 nucleotides in length. Lineage: Eukaryota; Ciliophora; Spirotrichea; Euplotida; Euplotidae. The record is from RNAcentral.
GACACAAUGGCCGAGUGGUUAAGGCGUUUGACUAGAAAUCAAAUGGGAUUUUCCCGCGCAGGUUCGAAUCCUGCUUGUGUCG